GGAUAUUUGGUACUGCGUCAAAAGUCGCGAUAAACUGAAAUGCAGCAGGCGUUUUCUGCUUAAAAGCGUUCUUCAGGAGGUGUCAUAUGUUGGUUGAACUUAUAACUGUGUUCGCCGAUUCGAAUCCUGGAAUGUUAUCGCUUGCUGUAGCGCAUGCAGCCGACUGGCUUACUGUACCUCGAUGUUCUUCACGCCGGCAGUUGGCGACUGUCAGCUGCACAAGACAACAAUUAAUCGACGUCAGCACGUCCCGGGAAGGAAAGGAAGUGACGUCAUUAAGCGAGGCCUAUGUGCGUCCAUCGUUCAAAUGCAGUACUCUGACGUCAGAAUGGAGCUUUGUCAAAGUUUCCCCUAACGACACGUUUUACUUCAGAAAAUGAAAGUUCCAUGGAAGUCUAUCCUGACGUCACUUCCCGUGACUGCGAUGUGCCUGUGUUACUCCGUUAGUUAGUGGGUCCGUGAUCUCUUGUUGACCAACGGGCUCCUGUAUUUGAGCAAGGUCGGGUUUAAUGUUGC
Dreissena polymorpha is the source of this 516-nucleotide long non-coding RNA. RefSeq lists it as uncharacterized. The record is from RefSeq and is a predicted model, not a curated record. The transcript has 3 exons. NCBI's taxonomy places the organism in Eukaryota, Metazoa, Mollusca, Bivalvia, Myida, Dreissenidae.